AACGCACCUUGCACCCUCUGGUAUUCCGGAGGGUAUGCCCGGUUGAGUGUCAUGAAUAUCUCAACUCCAAUGCUUUGUUAAGGUUCCUUGACCCUGCUCGGCCUAUCGAGACCAUGGCAGUUGUCUUUGGGAUUGAAGUGUUGGAGCUUGGUGUUGAGCUCUGUUGGCCUUGACGGUUGACUGGCUAGAAAUGCAUCAGUGAUGCGUGAUCCCUUGGGUCCAUCUCGGCGUGAUAAGUUGAUCGCUGCAAAGGACUUCCUUGGGGUGUGGCUCACUCCUAACCGUCUUCGGACAGCCUCUGACGUUUACACCUCAACUCGGGUAGGACCACCCGCUGAACUUAA
RNAcentral lists this unclassified non-coding RNA (344 nucleotides) under uncultured Tulasnella. RNAcentral describes it as "sequence contains ITS2". The record is from RNAcentral. Lineage: Eukaryota; Fungi; Basidiomycota; Agaricomycetes; Cantharellales; Tulasnellaceae.